Emys orbicularis (European pond turtle) is the source of this 220-nucleotide long non-coding RNA. RefSeq lists it as uncharacterized. The transcript is spliced from 3 exons. NCBI's taxonomy places the organism in Eukaryota, Metazoa, Chordata, Testudines, Emydidae. The record is from RefSeq and is a predicted model, not a curated record.
GAGAGGAAACAGUUGACUGAGAUGGGAGGUGAUGAAGCGCCUUGCUUGCAUGAGAGCCUGAUUGUGAAGGGAGCAGAGCCAGAGGGAAGGAAGAAGAGGGGAAACUAGUUGUAUAUACCUUACCUCAACUGGGAGAGCAGAGGUAGUAUCUCACUUAAGCUUAGAAAAUGUUUAAUGUUGUAGUCUAAGAAGAAGAAAAAAAUCAUGAAGUUCUAAGUUA